RNAcentral lists this long non-coding RNA (208 nucleotides) under Mytilus galloprovincialis (Mediterranean mussel). The record is from RNAcentral. Lineage: Eukaryota; Metazoa; Mollusca; Bivalvia; Mytilida; Mytilidae.
GUCAUCACUACGAUUUACACGGGUCAAUGUUUACUUUGCAAUUUCCUUCAAUCUAGACUAUUUGUAACCCUCGUUUCUAAAGGCUUCAAUUUUUCUAUUUUUUUUUUUUUUAGAAAACUAAAAUCCACGAAUUUAAAAACCCACGAACAUGUAAAUAUUGCUCAAACCACGAAAAUUGAUACCCACGAAUUAAAGUACUUUCACAGUA